This 148-nucleotide non-coding RNA is filed under the name Nomascus leucogenys (northern white-cheeked gibbon). The record is from Rfam by way of RNAcentral. Lineage: Eukaryota; Metazoa; Chordata; Mammalia; Primates; Hylobatidae.
GCUGGACAUAGUGGCUUGUGCCUGUAGUCCCAGCCACUUGGGAGGCUGAGGUGGGAGGAUUGCUUGAGCCCAGGAGUUUGAGGCUGCAGUGAGCUGUGAUUGUACCACUGCACUCCAACCUGGGCAACAGAGUGAGACCCUGUCUCAA